This 224-nucleotide unclassified non-coding RNA is filed under the name Hevea brasiliensis (rubber tree). The record is from RNAcentral. Lineage: Eukaryota; Viridiplantae; Streptophyta; Magnoliopsida; Malpighiales; Euphorbiaceae.
GCUGCUCUCAAUGGUUUGUUUUGUCAACAAUAAUUCGGGUUCGCCAUCUGUAUAUUCAUUCUGUGAUUCUAUUAUUUGCAAAAGUUAUAUGAAGAUAGCUUAUCCAGAUGAAGCAUUCUUUGUGUCUAUAUCAAUGAAAAUGGACCUAUGGACAACAUUCUUUGGCCACCGCCAGUGGUGUUACAUGCUCAAUUAUCUCUGUUUCCUUUUCAUUUUACCUUCCG